CAUGGUUGUCGUCAGCUCGUGUCGUGAGAUGUGGGUUAAGUCCCGCAACGAGCGCAACCCUACUUGCUAGUUACCAUCAUUAAGUUGGGGGACUCUAGCGAGACUGCCAGUGAUAAACUGGAGGAAGGUGGGGGAUGACGUCAAAUCAUCAUGCCCCUUAUGACCUGGGCUACAAACGUGAUACAAUGGCUGGAACAAAGGGAUGCGAAGCAGUGAUGUGGAGCGAAACCCAUAAAAACAGUCUCAGUUCGGAUUGAAGUCUGCAACUCGACUUCAUGAAGUCGGAAUCGCUAGUAAUCGCGGAUCAGAACGCCGCGGUGAAUACGUUCUCGGGGUUU
This 338-nucleotide ribosomal RNA is filed under the name uncultured Acholeplasma sp. RNAcentral's name for it is "bacterial SSU rRNA". It matches the Rfam family "Bacterial small subunit ribosomal RNA", at positions 1044 to 1382 of the family's 1533-position model. Lineage: Bacteria; Bacillati; Mycoplasmatota; Mollicutes; Acholeplasmatales; Acholeplasmataceae. The record is from RNAcentral.